UACGAACUGUGCAAACGUUAUUCGGAAUCACUGGGCUUAAAGGGUGCGUAGGCGGCUCGUUAGGUAGGGUGUGAAAGCCCCCGGCUCAACCGGGGAAUUGCGCCCUAAACCGGCGGGCUGGAGUGAGAUAGGGGUGUGCGGAACUUCCGGUGGAGCGGUGAAAUGUGUUGAUAUCGGAAGGAACGCCGGUGGCGAAAGCGACACACUGGGUCUCAACUGACGCUGAGGCACGAAAGCCAGGGGAGCAAACGGG
This 253-nucleotide ribosomal RNA is filed under the name uncultured bacterium. RNAcentral's name for it is "partial 16S ribosomal RNA". It matches the Rfam family "Bacterial small subunit ribosomal RNA", at positions 524 to 776 of the family's 1533-position model. The record is from RNAcentral.